This 435-nucleotide ribosomal RNA is filed under the name uncultured Lachnospiraceae bacterium. RNAcentral describes it as "bacterial SSU rRNA". It matches the Rfam family "Bacterial small subunit ribosomal RNA", at positions 341 to 792 of the family's 1533-position model. The record is from RNAcentral. Lineage: Bacteria; Bacillati; Bacillota; Clostridia; Lachnospirales; Lachnospiraceae.
ACGGGAGGCAGCAGUGGGGAAUAUUGGACAAUGGGGGGAAACCCUGAUCCAGCGACGCCGCGUGAGUGAAGAAGUAUUUCGGUAUGUAAAGCUCUUUAGGCAGGAAAGAAAAUGACGGUACCUGCAGAAUAAGCCCCGGCUAACUACGUGCCAGCAGCCGCGGUAAUACGUAGGGGGCAAGCGUUAUCCGGAUUUACUGGGUGUAAAGGGAGCGUAGACGGCUGUGCAAGUCUGAAGUGAAAGCCCGCGGCUUAACUGCGGGACUGCUUUGGAAACUGUAUAGCUAGAGUGUCGGAGAGGUAAGUGGAAUUCCCAGUGUAGCGGUGAAAUGCGUAGAUAUUGGGAGGAACACCAGAGGCGAAGGCGGCUUACUGGACGAUUACUGACGUUGAGGCUCGAAAGCGUGGGGAGCAAACAGGAUUAGAUACCCUGGUA